UGCUCUAGAUUAGCUCGUACCGUGGAUAUCUGCCCUAUGGUGGAGGAUACCCCGGGAACUGGGGAUAUACUCCUAAGUCAGGAGUACUGGAAUGUCUCCUAACUGAAGUUGCGGCGCCUAGGAUGAAUCUGCGGCCGAUUAGGUAGUUGUUGGGGUAACGGCCCAACAAGCCCGUAAUCGGUACGGGUUGUGGGAGCAAGAGCCCGGAGAUGGAAUCUGAGACACGAUUCCAGGCCCUACGGGGCGCAGCAGGCGCGAAAACUUUACAUGCAGGAAACUGUGAUAAGGGAACCCCGAGUGCCCGUAAACGCGGGCUGUCCCGGUGUUUAAACACAUCGAAGAAAGGGCCGGGCAAGACCGGUGCCAGCCGCCGCGGUAUACCGGCGGCUCGAGUGGUGACACUUUUAUUGGGCUUAAGCGUCGUAGCUUGAUUUUAGUCUCUUGGGAAUCUCACGGCUUACUGUGAGCGUCUAAGAUACUGGGAUCUAGGACCGGGA
RNAcentral lists this ribosomal RNA (497 nucleotides) under uncultured bacterium. Its description in RNAcentral is "bacterial SSU rRNA". It matches the Rfam family "Archaeal small subunit ribosomal RNA", at positions 76 to 603 of the family's 1478-position model. The record is from RNAcentral.